Molecule: long non-coding RNA, 547 nt
Organism: Prosopis cineraria
Lineage: Eukaryota; Viridiplantae; Streptophyta; Magnoliopsida; Fabales; Fabaceae
Exons: 2
Source: RefSeq, a predicted model, not a curated record
CAAAUCAUCCUUUUUCUUGUUUAAGCAAAAGCUUUCUUCUUCCAGCAGCCUCACCGUCAUGGCGUCAUCAACUCAUCGUCCAUUCGUCCACCAUGCUGGAGAGAGUCCUCGCUCUGCGACGCACUACCCCUCACCUGACAACUCCGCGGCCUCCGCCUCUGCCUCCGCCGACGAUGACGAAUCCAAAGUCAGGAAGCACCACCGUUUCUUCUUGCAAGUCGCGACCAGGGCCUCCAAUCACCUCUCCCGAUUGAGUUGUCUUGGCUCCAACUGAUUUUUUUGCCAUCUCGUUGCUUCCCCUCCUCUGAUCGGUUUCUUCCUUGCUCUUUAGUUCGAGUGGCUUAAUGUGUGCGUCCUCUUCUUCCCCAUUUUCUCGGGUCGGUUUAUUGGCUUCGGAUGUUCUUGAAUCCGAUUUCGGAGCUCUCAACGUGCCCUGGUUACGCUUAGAUUGAGGGAAAAUGCUACCUUGGGAAGUGUUUCGUUUCUUCCAGGGCUCAGUGAAUUAAUGAAUUGAAUGUUCAUAAACUGGAAGAAGGUCUGUCUAUCA